Molecule: long non-coding RNA, 359 nt
Organism: Daphnia magna
Lineage: Eukaryota; Metazoa; Arthropoda; Branchiopoda; Diplostraca; Daphniidae
Exons: 3
Source: RefSeq, a predicted model, not a curated record
GAUUAUGAGGCCAAAAAGGACUAUUAAAAAAAAUUGAACUUCACGUUUUCGAAUUCGGCAUUAUACGGUAAAAGGAGAGGUUCAGUAGCUGCUGCGACUAAUAAGGUCGUCAAAGCAGCUGGUAAGAACAACUCAACAACAUUGGUGCCAGGUUUCAUUCCACAAAUUUCAAAACCAGUUCAUGCAUUGUCUCAAUUAAUCCAAGGUGGUGCAUUAACAGUGAGAGCGGAGAAUGGAUUGGGGACAACCCCCAACAACACAGAGAAAACCUCAUCAACAAGAGUACCAGUUUACGUUCCACAAAUUCAAGGACCAGCUCAUGCAGCAUCAUUGUCUUAAUUAAUCCAAGGUGAUAUUUU